Molecule: long non-coding RNA, 683 nt
Filed under: Malus domestica (apple)
Lineage: Eukaryota; Viridiplantae; Streptophyta; Magnoliopsida; Rosales; Rosaceae
Description: long non-coding RNA (MDOM_LNC010857)
Source: RNAcentral
UUUUCGUUAAAAGAGAAGUUUUUUUGGACUUUCACAACCACUCACAGAUCGAGUCCAAAAACACCACCAUUGUGAUCCUCUCAUCCUCACGAUCACGACCAUACCAACCGAUUCUCUAAUGGUUGAGUUUUGAGUGGUCAACACAGAGCGACUCGGAAGCUCCGACUCGGUCGAGUUGGCGUCGUCGUGAUCCCGGCCGAGUUACAAGGUUUUAGGAUGUGGGGAAGCUCAUACUCAACUCCUCGUGGCCAUUAGACUAGUUUUGGAGAAGCGUUGAUGUCGAAACAGGCACGUUCAAGGAGUUGAGCUUUUGAGCCAUUUUCAAGCCAUUUUCAGGCCAUUUUCAGGCCAUUUCCCGUCCACUUUUGGACUUUUGGAAGGUACAACUUUGUUCUACUCUUCACGAGCUUCAUUUCCAUAUAAAUUUCGUGAAAAAUGGUUGAGAAAUGAGCAAGAUAUUAAGGUUUGAAAUUUUACCCAGAAACCGACGAAGAUUUCCAGUUUCCAACGAGUUCAGACGGUGGCGGAUGGUCGCGACCGGUGAUGACCCACCGGAGAAGAUGACGAAUAUUCCGCCAGACUUGACGGAAACGGCGUCAGGUAACGCCGUUAACGUCCAUUAACUGUUCAACAGAAUAUUUCCGUCAGCUUCUACUGUGCACGUGCCUACGCCUGUGGCCAUG